GGACAACGCGAGGACGUGAGGUUUCCUUUACUUAGGAGGUCACAGAAGCCACAGACCUGCACCAGGAGAAAAGGAGAUGGGAAAUCUGAGUGGCUGCAUAUUUUAUCUGAAAGCAUCAAAUUAUUACAGCAGGCUAUAUUGGGCUGAUUAAAUGCAGGCUUCCUCUUUUACCACCCAGGCUUCAGGGGCUUUUGAGGAAGAUUAGUCUUAGGGAAUGAAGAAGAUAUAUUCUCUUUGCACGUCCCUGUUACAGUGAGGGUAUAUAUGCUACUCAGCUUAAUUUUAUUAACUUUUGCUCAGGCUUUUGGCUGUUUGAUAUUCAGGAUGAGACGAAUCAAGAAGUAGAGCAAUAACCGAUGUGAAGGGGAUGUGAACAGAGAGCCAAGCAUGGAAAGAAAACAACCUUUCUGUGAAAUACUGACAAACAUUGCAUGAAGUUGUUAAAACACUCAAGUCAACCUAGUCCUGGAAUUCAGGAGAUCCAUCUUACUGAUAUUGUACUGAGAUAUUCAUGGAGGAGAGCACUCUGGCUGUGAUACUGCUUGAUUCCAUUAGAUAUUAUUCAGCUAACUUGACUGUAUGGGACAUGGAAGCAGUUUAUUGAAAUGGCAGAACUCAACAAAUACGCAGAGUGACUACUCUGGAAAGACAGUUGACUGAUAUCAGACUUGUGCAUAGUAAAAUCUUCACCACCCAUCCCCCACUCCUGACUUUCUAUCUGUAUGUGAAAAUCUCUCUGCAUCAGCCAAUAACAAGAAACAGCCUCCAGCUGGAUCUGGUUGAGCCAGACUAAAUUGCAUUUGAUUCAUUGACUUUGCUGCAAUUGGUCUGUAUAACAGUAUGGCAGAGAUCCAGCAUUGCAAUCCUUUUGUUCAUGGCAUUAAAAUGGUAUGAAGCAAAGAGUAUUUGCCAAAUCAAUAGCCUUGUACCAUAUGCCAGGGGAUAUGUUGAUCUGUUCUACUAACAAAACCACAUUUGAAGGAGCAACUGCAAUUGGAGUCACCAUCUGGUUAAGUUUGUGGAAACUCACUGUCAUUCUUCAAGAUCCAUCUGUCUUCCACAGAGGCCAAAGAGACAAUUAAAUGGGAUGUGACAAGAAUCACUAUCUUGCAUCUUUCAAGUCUUUAGUGGUGGUACUAAUGUCUAAAGUUCCUCUAGGAAUGCAAUGCUGUUUUUAGUUUACUAUCUAGGCAGUUCUAGUGAUUUUCACUUGGCUUUCCCUAAAAUAAUAGUUUUCAUUCCAUAGGUUAAGAAACCAAAGUGGGGAUUCUUAUAGUUUCUGAGCAUGUCUAUUGCAAUCACGCAUUUUGGAAUAUGGGAAAUUAACCACAGGAUGAGUUUUGAGACUCUUUGGUUCACUAUGAGAUAGACCCAACUCAAAACUCAAUUUAUUUUAGGCCUCCAUUAACCUCUACUACAAUUGGUGAGCCACAGUGAAAUAUUUGGUCUCCAGGAAUUGGUUUAAGUUUAGAGCCAAUGUCUAAUAAUCCCUCAAAAGUCUAAUUCUUUUCUCUUCUGCAAUGCACAAUCACCCCAGUAAAAGGUUGCACAACUCUUUAAGGGAAGGCUAAAAGAUUUACAUUACAUACUUUCAUCAUGGAAAAUGUUUUUUUUCCUAAGGGUAGCAGGCUUUCCUUUCAUUUAAGGGGUUCCAGGUCUGUGAACUGGUUCACAUCUGGGAACUUGUUGAAGGGCAUGAUACUUCAAUUGUAGUCAGGCUUCUGUUCACUAGACCUAGAGUUUUUUUGUGUAUACAAGCCAAGCAAGACUUUUAUAUGUUGCUCAUCUAUUUCAGUUCUAGGGACACCUUGUCAGUUGGCCAACUAGACCAUUUCGACUCUUGCUUUUAACUCAAUUGCCUUUAAACUGUGCAAUUGUGUGACUUGGUUAAACAGUUUGUAUAUAGCUUUUACUUCUGUGUCUUGUUUUGAGCCUGAAGAUAGCUGCAAAGGCAGUAAAAUAAUAAGCUAAAGACAUAAAGUGGGGUGGUUAGGACAAAUCCAAACCCAUAAGGAUAGGCUGGAACAUACAUCUGUCUCUUACCACCUCCAACCAAGUUUCCAACUUCAAUGAUGCCAGUAACAAGCUACAGAAGCUAGUGCUCAGAAUUUGGAGAGCUUAGGGAGAUCUGGCACGAGUUUGAGGGGUUGCUUUCCAGCUACUGUCCCAGUUGCUAUAAACACUAACCAUGGAUUUACUGACACUGAAGGAGAUUCAACAGAGCUAAAGCAGCUGCAGGACUAACUGCUGCUGCACAAUAGGAUGAGCUAGUACAUCAGGGACCAAUCUAUGUGAGCUACAACAGCAUUUGUUGUCCUGCACUGACCUGAGUGCAAAAAGAAAAUAUAUGGCUUCUGCCUCACUUUUGCCUUCCAAAUUUCAUGCAAAAUGUUCCUCAUGAUCCAUGCUAAUAAGAAAAUAUGCAGGUGUCAAAGCAAAAACUGCACCAGACAAUGUUGAACAGGCAAGGAAGACUUUGUUCAAGGUUAUUGAAACAGGAGAAACAUAUGAGAACUCUGAGCUUACCUCUACUGAAGAAAAUGGCAGGAAUUUUUAAAAGCUGGAUUGGGAAGAUCUUAGGCACCCCCUUGUUUGUUAAUUGGCCUUACCCAAAGGAAAAUCAAACUUUCUCUUCAUGACAGGAAAUAAUUUUACAACUUGGAGCAAAGUGCCAACUGAAGUUAGGCUUCUCUUCUCCUACAGACUCUGGGAGGCAGGAAUGCUAUCUUUCCUGAUGAUUGCUCCUUUAAAGGUUAGCUCCCUAGUCCAGAGAAAAUCUUCAGCUGCAAAACUGGCAAGAGGCUUUUUAAAAGACUUACAUCUCAAAAAGGCAGAGAAAGAAUUUACAAUUACAAGUUUUCUAAAAUACAUAUUCUAAGAACAGAGAGGUCAGGAGCCUAGAGUCAAGAAAAUGCCUGUUUAUGGUUUAGCAAAGCUGAGGGGAAUAUUAAAGCUAUCUUGGUCUCAAGGAAGGGAAUACUAGGAAAUAUAGUUUUAGCUUGGCUAAGUUGAUACUGUGCAAAUCUAGCAAUUCUUUUUUCUGAACUCCUACUGUUCUGAUGCCUCAUUUAGUGCUUAUUUGUUCUAUUAUGAACCUGAUGCAAAAAUGGGAAAUAAAAGAAUGACUGCAUGGCCUUUAAGUGUCAUGUUGAAACAUUAUAAUAAGACUAUUUCAUGAUUAUUUAAUUUUCACUUUUGUAGUUGACAAACUGCCACAAACCUUUUAGAUAGAUGACUGUGGUUGUGUACAGUAAACUUUAUUCACAAAAAUAGGCAAUGGGUUGGAUUUAGCCUAUUGUCUGUAGUAUGCUAACCCCCACUCUAGAAGAAUGCAGUUUUGUUUGAUUUACUAUUGGAUAACAGCCUAGAUUCUUGAAGUGAAUUAUUGAUUUAUGGAUUCAUAUAGUAAACGAUGUUUUUUCAAAAGAGAUGUAAAAGUUUUCUAACCAGUAGAGAAGAUAACCUCAAAUGUUACAAUUUUGUUUCAUCAUAGGACAUUAACUACUUUUAUAUUUUACACUGCAAUGAUAUUAUUUCAGGGUUCUGUGUUUCCCUAACUAUAAAUACUUCUAUCUUUCCUAUACUCUUUUGAACCAUCUUUACCAAUACUCCAUUUCCCUCA
Canis lupus familiaris (dog) is the source of this 3622-nucleotide long non-coding RNA. RefSeq lists it as uncharacterized. The transcript is spliced from 7 exons. The record is from RefSeq and is a predicted model, not a curated record. Lineage: Eukaryota; Metazoa; Chordata; Mammalia; Carnivora; Canidae.